UAUCCGGAUCACUGGGUUUAAAGGGUGCGUAGGCGGUAGGUAAGUCAGUGGUGAAAUCCUGGAGCUCAACUCCAGAACUGCCAUUGAUACUAUCUAUCUUGAAUAUUGUGGAGGUAAGCGGAAUAUGUCAUGUAGCGGUGAAAUGCUUAGAUAUGACAUAGAACACCCAUUGCGAAGGCAGCUUACUACGCAUAUAUUGACGCUGAGGCACGAAAAGCGUGGGGAUCAAAACAGGAUUAGAUACCCUGGUAGUCCACGCCCUAAACUAUGGAUACUCGACAUAUGCGAUACACUGUAUGUGUCUGAGCGAAAGCAUUAAGUAUCCCACCUGGGAAGUACGUUCGCAAGAAUGAAACUCAAAGGAAUUGGCGGGGGUCCGCACAAGCGGUGGAGUAUGUGGUUUAAUUCGAUGAUACGCGAGGAACCUUACCUGGGCUAGAAUGCUGGGAGACCGCUAGUGAAAGCUAGUUUUGUAGCAAUACACUGCCAGUAAGGUGCUGCAUGGCCGUCGUCAGCUCGUGCCGUGAGGUGUUGGGUUAAGUCCCGCAACGAGCGCAACCCCUAUCUUUAGUUGCCAACAGGUAAUGCUGGGAACUCUAAAGAAACUGCCGCCGUAAGGUGUGAGGAAGGAGGGGAUGAUGUCAGGUCAUCAUGGCCUUUAUGCCCAGGGCUACACACGUACUACAAUGGGGAAGACAAAGGGCUGCAACAUAGCGAUAUGAAGCCAAUCCCAAAAACUUCCUCUCAGUUCAGAUUGCAGGCUGCAACUCGCCUGCAUGAAGCUGGAAUCGCUAGUAAUCGUAUAUCAGCAAUGAUACGGUGAAUACGUUCCCGGACCUUGCACACACCGCCCGUCAAGCCAUGGGAGUCGGGUGUACCUAAAGUCGGUAACCGUAAGGAGCUGCCUAGGGUAA
RNAcentral lists this ribosomal RNA (914 nucleotides) under uncultured bacterium. RNAcentral describes it as "bacterial SSU rRNA". It matches the Rfam family "Bacterial small subunit ribosomal RNA", at positions 542 to 1465 of the family's 1533-position model. The record is from RNAcentral.